This 407-nucleotide ribosomal RNA is filed under the name uncultured bacterium. RNAcentral's name for it is "bacterial SSU rRNA". It matches the Rfam family "Bacterial small subunit ribosomal RNA", at positions 335 to 739 of the family's 1533-position model. The record is from RNAcentral.
ACUCCUACGGGAGGCAGCAGUAAGGAAUAUUGGACAAUGCCCGAAAGGGUGAUCCAGCCAUCCCGCGUGAAGGAAGACUGCCCUAUGGGUUGUAAACUUCUUUUAUAUACCAAGAAACCCCGGAUUCGAUCCCGGCUGCAGCGGUAGUAUAUGAAUAAGCACCGGCUAACUCCGUGCCAGCAGCCGCGGUAAUACGGAGGGUGCAAGCGUUAUCCGGAAUCACUGGGUUUAAAGGGUGCGUAGGCGGCGUUGUAAGUCAGAGGUGAAAUCCCACAGCUUAACUGUGGAACUGCCUUUGAUACUGCAAUGCUUGAAUCAGGUUGAGGUCGGCGGAAUGUGUUGUGUACGGUGAAAUGCAUAGAUAUGACAUAGAACACCAAUUGCGAAGGCAGCUGGCUAGACCUGUA